Molecule: non-coding RNA, 105 nt
Filed under: Chromera velia
Lineage: Eukaryota; Chromeraceae
Source: RNAcentral
UAAAAGAAACGAAAGAAAAAGAAAAAGGAAGAACAGAAGAAGAAGAAGAGGUUCGUCCAGAGGGAAGUCUGCAACUGUCUCGUUCCAUCCUCUUUUUCUCUCUCU